UAAACAUGUUAAAUAUACUGCGUGUCGAAUAUCUGUUUUCAGAACAGUCCUGAUGGCAUCCGACGGGAGCGAUUGCGGACAGUCCGUAAAGAAAAAAUAUCCAACGAUGAAACAAAGUUAGAGUGUCUUAAAGAGCAGCAAUCGAAGGAAAACGUCAUUAAGAAAAAGCUUGAGGAAGCUAAUGAGCUUUCUACUCGCUUUCGAGCGCUUAAAGCAAAAGGGCAGCAAACCCCAAAAGACGAUGAAGUAGAACAAAACCGUAUCGACCAGAAAGAACUUUCAGAUGAGCUAAAAAAACAGUCCGAUGUCGUUGCUAAGAAAUUGGAUGACAAGAACAGAAUAGAGAAGCGUUUGGAUGAAGAGACAAAGAAGGACGAAGCCCUUUGUAUCUACCUUAGUACUUCCAUUGAUGACG
Lineus longissimus is the source of this 415-nucleotide long non-coding RNA. RefSeq lists it as uncharacterized. Lineage: Eukaryota; Metazoa; Nemertea; Pilidiophora; Heteronemertea; Lineidae. The transcript is spliced from 3 exons. The record is from RefSeq and is a predicted model, not a curated record.